This 253-nucleotide ribosomal RNA is filed under the name uncultured bacterium. Its description in RNAcentral is "partial 16S ribosomal RNA". It matches the Rfam family "Bacterial small subunit ribosomal RNA", at positions 524 to 776 of the family's 1533-position model. The record is from RNAcentral.
UACGUAGGGGGCAAGCGUUGUCCGGAUUUAUUGGGCGUAAAGAGCUCGUAGGCGGCUUGUCGCGUCGACUGUGAAAACCCACGGCUUAACUGUGGGCUUGCAGUCGAUACGGGCAGGCUAGAGUUCGGUAGGGGAGACUGGAAUUCCUGGUGUAGCGGUGAAAUGCGCAGAUAUCAGGAGGAACACCGGUGGCGAAGGCGGGUCUCUGGGCCGAUACUGACGCUGAGGAGCGAAAGCGUGGGGAGCGAACAGG